This is an RNA transcript of Trifolium pratense (red clover), 1987 nucleotides long. RefSeq lists it as uncharacterized. The transcript has 11 exons. The record is from RefSeq and is a predicted model, not a curated record. Lineage: Eukaryota; Viridiplantae; Streptophyta; Magnoliopsida; Fabales; Fabaceae.
AAAAAAAAGAAAGUCCGGAGAGAAAAAAAGCCACCAAAAGCAGGAAGCCACAAAAGCAAGGCUUCAUUCAACGAGGUUGCUUUCGAGGUGGAGUGGCUCACCCUCAACACCGAAGCUCGCCAAGCCAUGGCGGUCGAGGAGGAGGAAUCUUCUCUCAAAGAUGAUCGAAAAGCUUCGAAAUUGGUAAUUAGACAGAGAAUUUGGGAUUUGAUGGAAGAGAAGAAUUUUGCACAAAAUCCAAAACAUGUUCAUCAUCGAAUCCAUAAUUUCGUUUUGCUGCUAAUGAGGAUGAUUUGCUUCAACUCUUUCAUCCUUUUGGAGUCAUAAAAAAGCUUGUGGUGUUGUGUGCCAAGAAUGAGGUUUUCUUCAUGCCUUGAAAUGAAUCUUUUGGUUUUUCUUAGACUCUUAGAACUCACGGAUGAAUUGUUUCAUCAUUCCUGCACAAGGUAAUCAAAACCGGACCGGUCGUCGAACCGAUGAAGGCACUGGUUCAAGGUUCAAUCGGGGUUCGACCGGGAAAGGAGAAUAUUUAUUUCCAAUUUUCCUCUCAUCAAGAACUAUCAACGGAUCAAAGUCAAGGAGGAGAAGAUGAGCUGUCGGCAACUGUUCGGAUGCACAGCCAAAUCAAAUUCUCUUAGUUACGGUUCAUCAAGUGCUUUAUCCCAUGACAGUGGAUGUGCUACUACAAGUUUUUUCUCUCCAUGGAUAUGUCGAAAAGAUUGUAACAUUUCAGAAGUCAGCUGGGACACAAUGUUUAUGAUGGUUGCUGUCAGCUGAACAUUCAGUUCUCAAACCUUGAUGAACUACAAGUGAACUACAAUAAUGAUCGAUCAAGGGACUUCACCAACCCAAAUCUGCCUACAUAGCAGAAAGGUCGACCUUGACAAUCGGGAUAUGGUGGUGAUGCUGGAAUGUAUGCGGGGGUUCAAGGUUCUGGACCUAGGCAAGGUGGAUUCUCUCAUCAAUUGAAGCUGCCUUCGAGGGAGAUUUGCCUACGGGAAUAACUGGAACAAAUGAGAGGUCUACAAUUCUUGUUGCAAACCUCAAUCCCGAUAGAAUCGACGAGGAUAAGCUGUUCAACUUGUUCUCUAUUUAUGGGUACAUUAUGAGAAUUACUCCAUAAUAAACCAGAUCAUGCACUUGUUCAGAUGGGGAUGGUUUCCAAGCUGAAUUGGCCACUUUAUGAAGGGCACGAUGUUGUUUGGAAAGCGGUUGGAGGUGAACUUCUCAAAGCAUCCAAAUAUAACUCAAGGUCCCGAUACACAUGAAUACAUGAACUCGAAUCUCAAUCGAUUCAAUUGCAACGCUGCUAAAAACUAUCGGUAUUGCUGCUCACCUACAAGGAUCAUCCACGUGUCCUCCCUCCCACAAGACAUAAUUGAGAUUGAGCUUGCAAGUCUUCUAGUGGAGCACGGAAUCAUUUUCAACUGCAAAGUCUUAGAGAUGAAUGGGAAAAAGCAGGCUCUUGUUCAGUUUGAGACCGAGGAAGAGGCAACUGAAGCCCUUGUUUGCAAGCAUGCAAGUUCACUUUCUGGCUCUGUGGUCCACAUCUCCUUUUCUCAGUUGCUCAAUAUAUGAUGCGGCACACUUUGACAAGGGAUUCUGAAUUUUGGAACGAUGAUUUUUAUGAGGGAAAUCCCAUCUUCAUUUGUCUUUGUAACUUAUAGGACCUGUUAUUGACUUUUUCUUUUAUAAUCAUUUUUCUUCUCAUCUCCAUUGGUUCUAUUAGUUCUUUUAUGUUGGAUUGUUAACAUAAAGUAGAUGAGGAAAGAUUUAUGGUUGCAGAUGGAAGAAGUUUUGAGGAGUAGAAAAGAGAAAAUUAGUACUUGUUUAGUAUUGAGUGAUUACCAUUUGGUUUUUUAUAAUGAUUGUUGAAUGGUUGAUGUAUAUAUAUUUGGAUUCAGGCUUAAUUAGUUGGCCUUUCUGUUGUAUUCCAAUAAACAUCAAAAUUUUAUUGUCUAAUUAACAAAGCUACAUUGUUGUUUCA